Molecule: long non-coding RNA, 3568 nt
Organism: Gallus gallus (chicken)
Lineage: Eukaryota; Metazoa; Chordata; Aves; Galliformes; Phasianidae
Source: Ensembl
CAAAUGGGGUGAGCACCCAGAUGACCUUGUUCUGUAGAUAGGGUCCUUUAAUGUGUUUAUGUCAAGAAGAGGAACAAGAAGACAGGUUGUUCAGUUGAAGGUGAUGGAGCCAUCCCCAUGGAGCUGUAACAGAACCUGGAUGGGAUAAACUCUCGCAGGAAAGGAUGCUGGGUCUGAUUCUCUGUUGCCUCACAACCUUUUGUAGCUGCUGGUCCAGUGCAAAAAGGAUGAGAAAUACUGAAUGAACUAUUCCUAGUGGGGCAGGGGAAUAGCAGCACCAAGAGGAAAGCUUAGGUGGGAGCUGCAGUCCUUCCAUGCAAACGCUCCUGCACGUUUUUGGCAAAUGAGGCAGAAUACAUUCGUGGGGCACAUCAAUGGCAGCAGCCUGCAAAGGGCUCAGGGAGGGCCUAAUCACCUCUUCAGUAGUGGCACAGCUGCCAUGUGGGGAAGGAUGACUUUUACUGUGCUGCUGUGUGUUGGAUGAGAUGGCAGCUCCCUGCUGAAUGCCGUGCUGGGUUGGGGGCCUUAAGAUGUGUAACAUAUGUGAAGCAGUUGUUGUUAAAAGAAGUUUUGUGGGGAUCUUGCACGUGGCUAGUUGGAACACGUGGUCAGAUCCACGCUGAUUGACCCUGGCUGGACAUCAGAACUGCUGGGUAUGUGAAAUCCCACCAGGGAUGGAAAAUUCACCAUGGGUAGAAAACUGGUUUACCUUUGUUUGUGUGCAUGGCUCAGGAUAUAACAAGGAUGUGGCAGCCAGCACUUCUUAUGAGGGUCUGGAGCCCAGAGGUGGCACGGCACUGUACUGAGCACAUGAAGGGUGAAGAAAUAGCACCAGUGUCCUGCUGGAGUGCAUCACUUCACACUGGGUUAACCUGGAAGGCUUAUUCUGAUGGCAGCCUAGUUGGACUAGAUGACAGCCAAGUCCCUUCCAACCCCCACAUUUUUGUGAUUUUGGGUGAAUUGACUCUAGUGUGUGAUUUUGUGACUCUCUAUCAAAAUGUCCCCUAUUAGGCAGGCAAGAACUCUGGUCAAGGGCUGUCUUUUUGCUAUUGAGUGGAACAGUAGUUAGUGCAUAAUGGUUCCAACUUCUCACUAAAACCUCUCUGGGCUUUACUGUACUGUGAGCAAAAAGUAAUGAGAUUGACCAGAACAAAAAAGCCCCAGGAAUUUUGAUUUUUUUUCUACCAGACUGAGCUGCAGAGUGUCCCCCAUCCCUUAAGGACUGGUGAACGUGGGAGUAUUUCUAUGGCCAGUGGGGUGAGUGGGCUUAAAGCACGUGGAUCUGCAGAACGAGGGUUUAACUCCUCCACAACCUGCCAGCCAGCACUGUGCUUGGCACUCGAACAAACCAACUGCCGCUUUAACCAAUGUGAUGCUACAGCCACGUUAAGCCAAACAUGAUGUGGCCUUUUUGGGCUUGGUUGACCCUGCUGGCAGUGCUGUGCCCAUGUCACCCUGAUAUGUCAACUGCUUGCUUUGCUGGGACUACCAGGUUUAGUCAAAGGCACCUGAAAUGAAUGUGCCAAUGCCUGAAGAUGGUUGGUAGAGAUUUAUAUUUUUAAGCUCCUCUAUUGACUUUUUCCUUCCAAUCACAAUGACACUUUCUUCUCUCGAGGCUGCAUUCAUCCUUUUCUUUGCCCUGCUAAAUUCUGCUUUUUAUCUGCUAGGCUGUUUCUGUCUUGUUUCUGAGUUCAAUGGCCAGGUGGUUGGGACAGGCUCUGUAUCUGGGAGACACCUGGGGAAACCAAGAAGCAGAGUUUUUAAUUAUUGGCUGGACUAUACUUGAUUUAUCCUCUUUCCAUCAUUGUGAUUGCUUUAUCUGUUUUUAAUGUCCGCUUUCUUUAAAAACAAGUGCUGGGGGAGAGUCAUGCCCUGAGCUGGAUCCCAGAGAUGUGCCUUCAUGUGACUGCUGCAGGUUCCUGUGUUGAGCACCUCAUCCUUUGCUUCCUGUAGUCCUUUGCUGUGCCCUAGACUUGGCCAUAGCUCCUGCUGUCCUCCUGCUUAUGCCAGGGCUGUGCUCCAUUCAGUGUGGCGUGGGAAAAGCAAGGAGUGGGCAACGAUGUGCAGGGCCUGAGGGGUGUCAGGUCUUGGUAAGCCCACAGGGUGUGUCUAUUCUUAAUAAUUUGAAGAUUUUUACAAAUUGGCUUUCUGGAGCUGGGAGAUGGGCUGGGGAAAUGGGGAUCUCCUGCAAGCAAACCCCUGUGUCUUCCCAAGGAAGUCUACUCAGCUGCUGCCUUAGAGGAGCUCAGGGAGUUCUGGAGCGGCUGCGUGGGAGGAGAAGAGGGAUUUGUGGUUCAGCUUCUGGGAAUUGAAGUGUUGAAAUCUUGCCAGCCGAAAAUGAGAUGCCUUUAAAACUAGGGUGAAAUCCAGGCCUCGCUGAAAUCACUGCAAUUUCAUUUUGGGCUUCAGUAGCAUCAAGACAUCACCCCAGCUCAGUGGGGAAAGGGUCGGAGGAGUGUCCACUGCAGUGCUUGCUGCUGAAGCUCUGUAGCCUGAACCUUCAUAGAAAAAUAAGUGUCACAGCUGCAGUGCCAGAGCACUCCAACUUGCAUGUGCAUAUUCAGAUAACACAGGAAAAACUAGUGAGGGGGUGUCUGUAGGGUUAAACUUCCUACUUUCCUUUUUAUAGUCAGGAGGGUGUGCUGGGUAUGGACCAUUCCCUGGCUUUAAGUGUGGCUUUUCCUCUGGAGGGAAGAAUCUGUUUCAUCUCCCCGGGAUGGAGUGACCUUCCUGAUCUGUUGCUGUGCUGGAUGGUAUUAUAAAUACUUCUCUCACCUGUACAGGGAAAUCAAAUAACAAUUAAAAGGAAACAAGUAAAAAGACAUGAAUCAAUUCCAUUAGAAUAGCAAGCAUUUGCUCAAGUCUCUGUAUGGGAUUGGUGUGUAAGUGCACACAAAAAUGUAAAUGGAUUAAGUACCAUAUUUUUCUUUUUGCUGCGUAUGAUUUUUGUAAUAAUUAAUUGGAUACUUUGGUCAGGAGAUGGUGCUGUAAAUAUGUCUGUUGCUUUUACACUUGUCUGAGCAUCCCUAGUACUACGUGAUACUGAACUCUGAAAGCAGGUUGCCCCGAAGAUCUGUUCUGCAGUGAGACCUGCACUCUGCUGCUGUGAGAAGACGAAUGAAUUAUAUAGUUGAGGGGCUGGCAGGAGGUUUUUGUACCUCAGAUAUGGACUCCUGGCAAUUAGCUAUCACUUGCCCUUCCCUGUACCAUUGUGGGUUUGUCUCAUCCUUUGCCCCCACCUAUGUGGGCAAAAAACAGGCAACUGGUACCGAGUCUCAAACACCAGGUCAUUGUAGCAUCUAAAAUGGAGCUAUAGCAAACUCCUUUUAGCAGUGUCAAUCCCUGCUGAACUUAGCAGUAAUAUCUGACAUCUUGCGUGCUUGAGGUGUCUUGGAAAAGCUCUCUGCAGACAUGUCUUUGCACACUUUUUGUCUUGAAUCUGAGACCCAAACGCAGAAUCUAACAGCUUUGGGCCUGGUGUGUCCACAUAAUGAUUCCUGGAGGACUGCUAGAGAGGUGAACCGUUGUUAGUCCACUCUUCAUUGUUUCUAUAUAUAGUCUGUGCCUA